Molecule: ribosomal RNA, 397 nt
Filed under: uncultured bacterium
Lineage: Bacteria
Description: partial 16S ribosomal RNA
Rfam family: Bacterial small subunit ribosomal RNA
Source: RNAcentral
AUACGUAGGUGACAAGCGUUAUCCGGAUUUACUGGGCGUAAAGGGCGUGUAGGCGGUCUUGCAAGUCAGAAGUGAAAUUCCUGAGCUCAACUCGGGCGCUGCUUCUGUAACUGCAGGACUUGAGUGCUGGAGGGGAUAGCGGAAUUCCUAGUGGAGCGGUAAAAUGCGCAGAUAUUGGGAAGAACACCGGUGGCGAAGGCGGCUAUCUGGACAGGAACUGACGCUGAGGCGCGAAAGCGUGGGGAGCAAACAGGAUUAGAUCCCCUGGUAGUCCACGCCGUAAACGAUGAAUACUAGGUGUAGGGGGUAUCGACUCCCUCUGUGCCGCAGUUAACACAAUAAGUAUUCCGCCUGGGGAGUACGGCCGCAAGGUUGAAACUCAAAUGAAUUGACGGGG